GACGAACGCUGGCGGCGUGCUUAACACAUGCCAGUCGAACGGAAAGGCCCUGCUUUUGUGGGGUGCUCGAGUGGCGAACGGGUGAGUAACACGUGAGUAACCUGCCCUUGACUUUGGGAUAACUUCAGGAAACUGGGGCUAAUACCGGAUAGGAGCUCCUGUUGCAUGGUGGGGGUUGGAAAGUUUCGGCGGUUGGGGAUGGACUCGCGGCUUAUCAGCUUGUUGGUGGGGUAGUGGCUUACCAAGGCUUUGACGGGUAGCCGGCCUGAGAGGGUGACCGGCCACAUUGGGACUGAGAUACGGCCCAGACUCCUACGGGAGGCAGCAGUGGGGAAUAUUGCACAAUGGGCGGAAGCCUGAUGCAGCAACGCCGCGUGCGGGAUGACGGCCUUCGGGUUGUAAACCGCUUUCGCCUGUGACGAAGCGUGAGUGACGGUAAUGGGUAAAGAAGCACCGGCUAACUACGUG
Molecule: ribosomal RNA, 468 nt
Filed under: uncultured bacterium
Lineage: Bacteria
Description: partial 16S ribosomal RNA
Rfam family: Bacterial small subunit ribosomal RNA
Source: RNAcentral